CUUAAGUGCAACCAUAAGUUUCCACGCAAAACUUUGAUCGUCCGUUUUAUUUAAAUUUUUUUAUAAAUAGUAUUUUUGUUGUUAUGAGAUGAUAAAACAUAAAUAGUAUUUUAUUUGUGACUUAUGUUUUUAAAUUUUUUUUAAAAAAAUUUAAAUAAGACGAACGGUUAAAGUUGGACGCGAAAAACCAUAGCUGCACUUAAA
This is a microRNA precursor of Oryza sativa Indica Group (long-grained rice), 204 nucleotides long. It matches the Rfam family "MIR812 microRNA precursor family". The record is from Rfam. Lineage: Eukaryota; Viridiplantae; Streptophyta; Magnoliopsida; Poales; Poaceae.